Molecule: ribosomal RNA, 480 nt
Filed under: uncultured bacterium
Lineage: Bacteria
Description: bacterial SSU rRNA
Rfam family: Bacterial small subunit ribosomal RNA
Source: RNAcentral
AUUGAACGCUGGCGGCAUGCCUUACACAUGCAAGUCGAACGGCAGCACGGGAGCAAUCCUGGUGGCGAGUGGCGAACGGGUGAGUAAUAUAUCGGAACGUGCCCAGUCGUGGGGAUAACGUAGCGAAAGCUACGCUAAUACCGCAUACGAUCUAUGGAUGAAAGCGGGGGAUCGCAAGACCUCGCGCGAUUGGAGCGGCCGAUAUCAGAUUAGGUAGUUGGUGAGGUAAAGGCUCACCAAGCCGACGAUCUGUAGCUGGUCUGAGAGGACGACCAGCCACACUGGAACUGAGACACGGUCCAGACUCCUACGGGAGGCAGCAGUGGGGAAUUUUUGGACAAUGGACGCAAGUCUGAUCCAGCCAUUCCGCGUGCAGGAUGAAGGCCCUCGGGUUGUAAACUGCUUUUGUACGGAACGAAAGGUUUCUCUUAAUACGAGGAGCUCAUGACGGUACCGUAAGAAUAAGCACCGGCUAACUAC